RNAcentral lists this ribosomal RNA (253 nucleotides) under uncultured bacterium. Its description in RNAcentral is "partial 16S ribosomal RNA". It matches the Rfam family "Bacterial small subunit ribosomal RNA", at positions 524 to 776 of the family's 1533-position model. The record is from RNAcentral.
UACAGAGGUGGCAAGCGUUGUUCGGAAUUACUGGGCGUAAAGGGCUCGUAGGUGGCCAACUAAGUCAGACGUGAAAUCCCUCGGCUUAACCGGGGAACUGCGUCUGAUACUGGUUGGCUUGAGUUUGGGAGAGGGAUGCGGAAUUCCAGGUGUAGCGGUGAAAUGCGUAGAUAUCUGGAGGAACACCGGUGGCGAAGGCGGCAUCCUGGACCAACACUGACGCUGAGGAGCGAAAGCCAGGGGAGCAAACGGG